UUUGAACUUGAGAUGUAAAGAGAGGAAUGGAACCAGGAGAUAUACAGAAAGAAGGCAGAACGCAGAAGCCUUGAGAUCCGAGGGACACAACUAGAACCUACAGGGAAACCUUGAGGAAAAUGUUCAUUUUCUAAAGAAGAAUGACAGAUGCUGAGGGCAGAGGUCGCAAGGAGAGAAACACCAUCAAUCUAACCACAUAUUUCUGUACCAUAUAUCUGGACUAAAACAUUAAGGUGUUA
This is a non-coding RNA of Odocoileus virginianus texanus, 239 nucleotides long. The record is from RefSeq and is a predicted model, not a curated record. Lineage: Eukaryota; Metazoa; Chordata; Mammalia; Artiodactyla; Cervidae.